Podarcis lilfordi (Lilford's wall lizard) is the source of this 74-nucleotide non-coding RNA. The record is from the annotation of a GenBank genome assembly. NCBI's taxonomy places the organism in Eukaryota, Metazoa, Chordata, Lepidosauria, Squamata, Lacertidae.
UUCUCUGUGGCACAAUGGAUCAGUGCAUCUGGCUGUUUACCAUAAGCUUGCAGGUUCAAGCCCACACAGAGACA